AGAUGUGAGGGCAGCUUGGGUGUGACAUCUGUCACCCACUGAUCACCAGGGCUGACUCAGCUGAUCCUGACUGGCUAGGCGGGUGUCCCCUUCUCCCUCAUGCUCUACGCAUGCCCCUUCCAAAGCUGCACUUGGUGGAAGAGGACAACCACCCCCGAUAGUAUCUGACUAGCUGAACUUUCUUCUAGAACCUCCAAAAAGCUCUCAAGAAAAAGCCAAAGAAAAGAUAAUAGGAAACAGGGAGACAGACCCUUUGCAGGAAGGAAGGUGUCUUGGUUACUUUCUCAUUGCUG
RNAcentral lists this small nuclear RNA (293 nucleotides) under Chinchilla lanigera (long-tailed chinchilla). RNAcentral's name for it is "7SK RNA (ENSCLAG00000021407.1)". It matches the Rfam family "7SK RNA". From Rfam's summary of the family: 7SK was discovered as an abundant small nuclear RNA in the mid-70s but a possible function has only recently been suggested. Two independent studies have found that 7SK RNA binds the CDK9/cyclin T complex (known as elongation factor P-TEFb). P-TEFb activates transcription by phosphorylating the C-terminal domain of RNA polymerase II. The record is from RNAcentral. Lineage: Eukaryota; Metazoa; Chordata; Mammalia; Rodentia; Chinchillidae.